AUCGAACGCUGGCGGCAGGCCUAACACAUGCAAGUCGAGCGGAUGAAUGGAGCUUGCUCCUGGAUUCAGCGGCGGACGGUUGAGUAAUGCCUAGUAAUCUGCCUGGUAGUGGGGGAUAACGUCCUGAUACGGGCGCUAAUACCGCAUACGUCCUGAUGUAGAAAUUGGAGGAGCUUCGGACCUCACGCUAUCAUAUGAGCCUAGGUCGGAUUAGCUAGUUGGUGGGGUAAAGGCCUACCAAGGCGACGAUCCGUAACUGGUCUGAGAGGAUGAUCAGGCACACUGGAACUGAGACACGGUACAGACUCCUACGGGAGGCAGCAGUGGGGAAUCUUGCACGAUGGGGGAAAGCGUGAUCCAGCCAAGCCGCGUGUGUGAAGACGGUCUUCGGAUUGUAAAACAAUUUAAGUUGGGAGGAAGUGAAGUAAGUUCAUACGUUGCUGUAUUGGCGUUACCAACAGAAUAAGCACCGGCUAACUUCGUG
This 484-nucleotide ribosomal RNA is filed under the name uncultured bacterium. Its description in RNAcentral is "partial 16S ribosomal RNA". It matches the Rfam family "Bacterial small subunit ribosomal RNA", at positions 30 to 507 of the family's 1533-position model. The record is from RNAcentral.